GUGGUGCUUAUAUGUAAAUGCAAGGAUGGUAGUCUAGGAGAAAAAGGAAUUUUAGUAGUAGUGAGGGGUUAAACCUGUUUCAUACAAAUGUUAGGUGGUGCUUCUAUGUAAAUGCAAGGAUGGUAGUCUAGGAGAAAAAUGAAUUUUAUUAGUAGUGAGGGGUUAAAACCUGUUUCAUACAAAUGUUAGGUGGUGCUUCUAUGUAAAUGCAAGGAUGGUAGUCUAGGAGAAAAAUGAAUUUUAUUAGUAGUGAGGGGUUAAAACCUGUUUCAUACAAAUGUUAGGUGGUGCUUCUAUGUAAAUGCAAGGAUGGUAGUCUAGGAGAAAAAUGAAUUUUAGUAGUAGUGAGGGGUUAAAACCUGUUUCAUACAAAUGUUAGGUGGUGCUUAUAUGUAAAUGCAAGGAUGGUAGUCUAGGAGAAAAAGGAAUUUUAUUAGUAGUGAGGGGUUAAAACCUGUUUCAUACAAAUGUUAGGUGGUGCUUAUAUGUAAAUGCAAGGAUGGUAGUCUAGGAGAAAAAGGAAUUUUAUU
Molecule: long non-coding RNA, 530 nt
Organism: Bos taurus (domestic cattle)
Lineage: Eukaryota; Metazoa; Chordata; Mammalia; Artiodactyla; Bovidae
Source: Ensembl